This 498-nucleotide ribosomal RNA is filed under the name uncultured bacterium. Its description in RNAcentral is "partial 16S ribosomal RNA". It matches the Rfam family "Bacterial small subunit ribosomal RNA", at positions 30 to 523 of the family's 1533-position model. The record is from RNAcentral.
AUUGAACGCUGGCGGCAUGCUUUACACAUGCAAGUCGAACGGUAACAGGCCGCAAGGUGCUGACGAGUGGCGAACGGGUGAGUAAUGCAUCGGAACGUGCCCAGUCGUGGGGGAUAACGCAGCGAAAGCUGUGCUAAUACCGCAUACGAUCUAUGGAUGAAAGCGGGGGACUGUAAGGCCUCGCGCGAUUGGAGCGGCCGAUGUCAGAUUAGCUAGUUGGUGGGGUAAAGGCCCACCAAGGCGACGAUCUGUAGCUGGUCUGAGAGGACGACCAGCCACACUGGGAAUGAGACACGGCCCAGACUCCUACGGGAGGCAGCAGUGGGGAAUUUUGGACAAUGGGCGCAAGCCUGAUCCAGCUAUGCCGCGUGCAGGAAGAAGGCCUUCGGGUUGUAAACUGCUUUUGUACGGAACGAAACGGACUGGGUUAAUACCUCGGGCUAAUGACGGUACCGUAAGAAUAAGCACCGGCUAACUACGUGCCAGCAGCCGCGGUAA